AAUUUUUACAAUGAAGAGUUUGAUCCUGGCUCAGGAUGAACGCUAGCGGCAGGCUUAACACAUGCAAGUCGAGGGG
Molecule: ribosomal RNA, 76 nt
Filed under: Bacteroidetes bacterium 41-46
Lineage: Bacteria; Pseudomonadati; Bacteroidota
Description: partial 16S ribosomal RNA
Rfam family: Bacterial small subunit ribosomal RNA
Source: RNAcentral